GCGUCAAUAGCUCAAUAGGAGAGCGCCGUCCUGACACGACGGAGGCCGGCGGGGCAGAACCGUCUUGGCGCA
RNAcentral lists this transfer RNA (72 nucleotides) under Roseimicrobium gellanilyticum. Its description in RNAcentral is "tRNA-Val". It matches the Rfam family "tRNA". Rfam says of the family: Transfer RNA (tRNA) molecules are approximately 80 nucleotides in length. Their secondary structure includes four short double-helical elements and three loops (D, anti-codon, and T loops). The record is from RNAcentral. Lineage: Bacteria; Pseudomonadati; Verrucomicrobiota; Verrucomicrobiia; Verrucomicrobiales; Verrucomicrobiaceae.